GACGAACGCUGGCGGCGUGCUUAACACAUGCAAGUCGAACGGAAAGGCCCUGCUUUUGUGGGGUGCUCGAGUGGCGAACGGGUGAGUAACACGUGAGUAACCUGCCCUUGACUUUGGGAUAACUUCAGGAAACUGGGGCUAAUACCGGAUAGGAGCUCCUGCUGCAUGGUGGGGGUUGGAAAGUUUCGGCGGUGGGGGAUGGACUCGCGUCUUAUCAGCUUGUUGGGGGGGUAGUGUCUUACCAAGGCUUUGACGGGUAGCCGGCCUGAGAGGGUGACCGGCAUCGUUGGUGCUGUGCUACGGCCCAGACUCCUGCGGGAGGCAGUAGUGGGGAAUAUUGCACAAUGGGCGGAAGCCUGAUGCAGCGACGCCGCGUGCGGGAUGACGGCCUUCUGGUUGUAAACCGCUUUCGCCUGUGACGAAGCGUGAGUGACGGUAAUGGGUAAAGAAGCACCGGCUAACUACGUG
This 468-nucleotide ribosomal RNA is filed under the name uncultured bacterium. RNAcentral describes it as "partial 16S ribosomal RNA". It matches the Rfam family "Bacterial small subunit ribosomal RNA", at positions 28 to 507 of the family's 1533-position model. The record is from RNAcentral.